RNAcentral lists this non-coding RNA (24 nucleotides) under Rattus norvegicus (Norway rat). Lineage: Eukaryota; Metazoa; Chordata; Mammalia; Rodentia; Muridae. The record is from RNAcentral.
UAGAUGGAAAUCAGUUCUCUUCUG